AUCCCAUGAUGAGGACACUUACGAAGUAAUUCCUUGAACCUUUUCCACGCCUCAUAGAAGGACUCAUCAUCCAAUUAUUGAAAAGUAGUUAUUUCAUUUUGCAACU
Gossypium arboreum is the source of this 106-nucleotide small nucleolar RNA. It matches the Rfam family "Plant small nucleolar RNA R71". From Rfam's summary of the family: R71 is a member of the C/D box family of snoRNAs containing the C (UGAUGA) and D (CUGA) box motifs. Lineage: Eukaryota; Viridiplantae; Streptophyta; Magnoliopsida; Malvales; Malvaceae. The record is from Rfam.